CAAAGAAGGACAUGCAGGUACAUGUCUUCCCCUUCUUAGAAAACCACUUUCGCUGUCAUGGGGAUGUGGCUGCAUGGACACUUUUCACCUAGCAACACCCUGGGCUCAUCUCCAGCAUUGAAAACCCACAGUCAACGGCGUUCAAUCAUACGGCUGGCUCACCCUGAUGGCCCUUGUCUAACCUGGCCACGUUGAUGGCCCCUUCUAUAAACACGGCAGUCAGAGUACGUUUCUGUUCUCCUUACUGUCCUGACAGAUGGAAACUCAUCAAGGACAAGAAGCAAGGCUCCUCGGUCAUGUGACUGAACAGCAUCAACAGCCAAGGCACAGGAGCGGGGACCACCUGCGCACACUCAGCCAGCAGCGGGUUUCAGGCAUGGUCCACCGUGUCUGGAGAAAGUAAAAAGGCUGUUGUAGAGGGGACUUGAACUCUACCAACAGACUGCACUUCCUUUGUUCCAAUUCCCAGAAGUCCUAGAAGAGAACGCUUUCUGCAAACUUUUUGGAGCUGGGAAGUUUUUGAGAAAUCCGCUGGCUCACUCCCAGAGUGCGAAAUGACAUUUCGCUGUUUGAAUCCCAGCCAGUUCAAAGGCUGCUGCUGCAGCAGCCACUCUCCAUGUGGGGGUUCAUUAAAGGAGCCGGCUUCUGCCUUUGUGUCCCUCCCCUUGCCCAGAGGCUUUGAACUCACUUGCCUGUUUUAGAUUAGCUCCCGCACUUUUGCAAGAGACAACUGUCUCUCUCAGAACACGGUGUGCAGGGUUAGGCAGAUUAUCCAGAAUUCAGGCUGGAAGCUGUGGUCCUCUGUCGAGUGUCCCUGGGAUCUUAUUUCCCUUCCUAUUUCACUUGCUUUAAAACAAACCCUUUGAAGUCGACAGGUAGGUUCCUGAAAGCUCAGCUUGACUAAUACUAUUAGGGGACUCUUGCUAACAAUGUCAUCCCUACUUCAGAUUAAAUUAUUGCAGUAA
Mesocricetus auratus (golden hamster) is the source of this 965-nucleotide long non-coding RNA. RefSeq lists it as uncharacterized. Lineage: Eukaryota; Metazoa; Chordata; Mammalia; Rodentia; Cricetidae. The transcript is spliced from 2 exons. The record is from RefSeq and is a predicted model, not a curated record.